UCAGACAACUGAUUAGUCGCUUUUGUUGAAAAACAAGAGAGGAAAGUCCGGGCUCCAUAAGAACGCGGUGCCAGAUAACAUCUGGCGAGGGUAACCUUAGGGAUAGUGCCACAGAAAAUAAACCGCCUGAUCGAGGCAAGGGUGAAAAGGUGUGGUAAGAGCACACCGGUUUUUUGGUAACAAAAAACGCAUGGAAAACCCCACCGGGAGCAAGACCAAAUAGAGAUAGCAUGGCCUUUUUUGGCCGAAAACAGUUCUUAGUUAGCUAUCUGGGUUGGUUGCUAGAGGCUAAAUGUGAAUUUAGUCCCAGAUAAAUGAUUAAUUUAAAUGACAGAACCCGGCUUACAGGUUGUCUGACUAU
Molecule: RNase P RNA, 361 nt
Filed under: Candidatus Pelagibacterales bacterium
Lineage: Bacteria; Pseudomonadati; Pseudomonadota; Alphaproteobacteria; Candidatus Pelagibacterales
Description: Pelagibacterales bacterium RNase P RNA component class A
Rfam family: Bacterial RNase P class A
About the family: Ribonuclease P (RNase P) is a ubiquitous endoribonuclease, found in archaea, bacteria and eukarya as well as chloroplasts and mitochondria.
Source: RNAcentral